This 423-nucleotide ribosomal RNA is filed under the name uncultured bacterium. RNAcentral describes it as "bacterial SSU rRNA". It matches the Rfam family "Bacterial small subunit ribosomal RNA", at positions 355 to 775 of the family's 1533-position model. The record is from RNAcentral.
UGAGGAAUAUUGGUCAAUGGACGAGAGUCUGAACCAGCCAAGUAGCGUGAAGGAUGACUGCCCUAUGGGUUGUAAACUUCUUUUAUACGGGAAUAAAGUUAGCCACGUGUGGCUUUUUGUAUGUACCGUAUGAAUAAGGAUCGGCUAACUCCGUGCCAGCAGCCGCGGUAAUACGGAGGAUCCGAGCGUUAUCCGGAUUUAUUGGGUUUAAAGGGAGCGUAGGCGGGUUGUUAAGUCAGUUGUGAAAGUUUGCGGCUCAACCGUAAAAUUGCAGUUGAUACUGGCGACCUUGAGUGCAACAGAGGUAGGCGGAAUUCGUGGUGUAGCGGUGAAAUGCUUAGAUAUCACGAAGAACUCCGAUUGCGAAGGCAGCUUACUGGAUUGUAACUGACGCUGAUGCUCGAAAGUGUGGGUAUCAAACAG